UACGGAGGGUGCAAGCGUUAAUCGGAAUUACUGGGCGUAAAGCGUGCGCAGGCGGUUUGUUAAGUCUGCUGUGAAAUCCCCGAGCUCAACUUGGGAAUUGCAGUGGAUACUGGCAAGCUGGAGUACGGUAGAGGAAGGUGGAAUUCCCGGUGUAGCAGUGAAAUGCGUAGAGAUCGGGAGGAACACCAGUGGCGAAGGCAGCACUCUGGGACGGUACUGACGCUGAGACGCGAAAGCGUGGGGAGCAAACAGG
This 253-nucleotide ribosomal RNA is filed under the name uncultured bacterium. RNAcentral's name for it is "partial 16S ribosomal RNA". It matches the Rfam family "Bacterial small subunit ribosomal RNA", at positions 524 to 776 of the family's 1533-position model. The record is from RNAcentral.